CGGUUUAUAAAUCCUUCUCGACUACCUUGGAGCUUGUGGUAUAGGAAUUAGGUUGUUUAUAUUUGUUGAUUACUUUCUUGUCUCUCAAAGAACCCAUUCUUUGAGUUCUAUCUCUCGUUUAUUUGCUUUUAGGCAAAUCACAUUGUAUGAUUACAAUGAACUACCCAACAAAACAACAUUUGUUAGUUGGUUUAUAGAAGCGAUAUCCAAAAGUUAAUUUAAGGAUAUCCUACAAGAUUGUUAUCAAACAAAUAUUGUGUAUUAACACACAACCCCAAAUCUUAACAUGCUUAAGAUUUGUCUUUCUUUCCAACUACAUCUUAUGGAGUCAUGAAAAAUUUGGAAGAUCUUCUAAUUGACAAUCAUAUUGUUUUUAGAAGUAUAUAUCCUAUAUAUAUGGGUAAUUGAUAAUAUCCAACGAACUAAAUCUUAUUCAAGUUCGUUCUUCUCCUAAUGGAGAAAUCCAUUAUCUUAUGAUGCUAUUUUCCUUGAUAUCUUUCAAGGAAACUCAUCUAAAGUGUUACUUUUCCUUGGAUCAAAUCUAAGGAGGUAAAUACUUUAGAUGUCUUACUCAUCAACUUACAUUUCUUGAAUUCUUUGAAACUUUUUUGCAAAGUAUUCGGACUUGUGUUUAUUCAAAAUAAACUAUAGUCCAACCGAGAGUGAUCUUCGGUGAAUGUCAUCCAACAUGAGUAGUAUUAUGUUGUGGAUAAGUGCCACUAACAUCUAAGUGAAUUAACCUCAACAACUUUGUGAUUCUUUCUUCUUUCCAAAAGAAUAAAGAUUCGAACAUUUCGCCUCUAUACAAUUUUAACAAGAAGGUAUUGGAUCCGGAUCUAACGAUCCAAAGCAUCCAUCUUUCACCAACUCAUAACUUAUGUUUUUAGAGGAAUCACAACUUAGUUGGGAUUAGUCACUACCUUGCAACCUUUUGGGUUUUAAGCAUCAUUAUGUUCUAAACAGUUAACACCACCAUAUUAUCUCUACUAUAGAGACAAUCAAUUAGAUUACUAUAAUCCAAUCAUUGAUUAAUAAAGAACAAUGUUUUGUCAAACAAAACAUUCAUCCAUCUCUACUAUAGUGACGGAAUUAAAUUCCUUAAAAUUGGAAUGUAAAGACAAUCUUUGUUUUUUUUCAAUUUCUUUGGUAGUUCAUAUGAGGAAGUAAGUACUAUCUGCUUUCGCAGAGAUCUAUAUUUUAUUCA
RNAcentral lists this long non-coding RNA (1204 nucleotides) under Malus domestica (apple). Its description in RNAcentral is "long non-coding RNA (MDOM_LNC020099)". Lineage: Eukaryota; Viridiplantae; Streptophyta; Magnoliopsida; Rosales; Rosaceae. The record is from RNAcentral.